CCAUGCACCGAAGCUGCGGCAGCGACACUGUGCGUUGUUGGGUAGGGGAGCGUUCUGUAAGCCUGUGAAGGUGGCCUGUGAGGGUUGCUGGAGGUAUCAGAAGUGCGAAUGCUGACAUAAGUAACGAUAAAGCGGGUGAAAAGCCCGCUCGCCGGAAGACCAAGGGUUCCUGUCCAACGUUAAUCGGGGCAGGGUGAGUCGACCCCUAAGGCGAGGCCGAAAGGCGUAGUCGAUGGGAAACGGGUUAAUAUUCCCGUACUUGGUGUUACUGCGAAGGGGGGACGGAGAAGGCUAUGUUGGCCGGGCGACGGUUGUCCCGGUUUAAGCGUGUAGGCUGGUUUUCCAGGCAAAUCCGGAAAAUCAAGGCUGAGGCGUGAUGACGAGGCACUACGGUGCUGAAGCAACAAAUGCCCUGCUUCCAGGAAAAGCCUCUAAGCAUCAGGUAACAUCAAAUCGUACCCCAAACCGACACAGGUGGUCAGGUAGAGAAUACCAAGGCGCUUGAGAGAACUCGGGUGAAGGAACUAGGCAAAAUGGUGCCGUAACUUCGGGAGAAGGCACGCUGACACGUAGGUGAAGUGAUUUACUCAUGGAGCUGAAGUCAGUCGAAGAUACCAGCUGGCUGCAACUGUUUAUUAAAAACACAGCACUGUGCAAACACGAAAGUGGACGUAUACGGUGUGACGCCUGCCCGGUGCCGGAAGGUUAAUUGAUGGGGUCAGCGCAAGCGAAGCUCCUGAUCGAAGCCCCGGUAAACGGCGGCCGUAACUAUAACGGUCCUAAGGUAGCGAAAUUCCUUGUCGGGUAAGUUCCGACCUGCACGAAUGGCGUAAUGAUGGCCAGGCUGUCUCCACCCGAGACUCAGUGAAAUUGAACUCGCUGUGAAGAUGCAGUGUACCCGCGGCAAGACGGAAAGACCCCGUGAACCUUUACUAUAGCUUGACACUGAACAUUGAGCCUUGAUGUGUAGGAUAGGUGGGAGGCUUUGAAGUGUGGACGCCAGUCUGCAUGGAGCCGACCUUGAAAUACCACCCUUUAAUGUUUGAUGUUCUAACGUGGACCCGUAAUCCGGGUUGCGGACAGUGUCUGGUGGGUAGUUUGACUGGGGCGGUCUCCUCCUAAAGAGUAACGGAGGAGCACGAAGGUUGGCUAAUCCUGGUCGGACAUCAGGAGGUUAGUGCAAUGGCAUAAGCCAGCUUGACUGCGAGCGUGACGGCGCGAGCAGGUGCGAAAGCAGGUCAUAGUGAUCCGGUGGUUCUGAAUGGAAGGGCCAUCGCUCAACGGAUAAAAGGUACUCCGGGGAUAACAGGCUGAUACCGCCCAAGAGUUCAUAUCGACGGCGGUGUUUGGCACCUCGAUGUCGGCUCAUCACAUCCUGGGGCUGAAGUAGGUCCCAAGGGUAUGGCUGUUCGCCAUUUAAAGUGGUACGCGAGCUGGGUUUAGAACGUCGUGAGACAGUUCGGUCCCUAUCUGCCGUGGGCGCUGGAGAACUGAGGGGGGCUGCUCCUAGUACGAGAGGACCGGAGUGGACGCAUCACUGGUGUUCGGGUUGUCAUGCCAAUGGCACUGCCCGGUAGCUAAAUGCGGAAGAGAUAAGUGCUGAAAGCAUCUAAGCACGAAACUUGCCCCGAGAUGAGUUCUCCCUGAGACUUUAGGUCUCCUGAAGGAACGUUGAAGACGACGACGUUGAUAGGCCGGGUGUGUAAG
Molecule: ribosomal RNA, 1707 nt
Filed under: Salmonella enterica subsp. enterica serovar Bovismorbificans
Lineage: Bacteria; Pseudomonadati; Pseudomonadota; Gammaproteobacteria; Enterobacterales; Enterobacteriaceae
Description: partial 23S ribosomal RNA
Rfam family: Bacterial large subunit ribosomal RNA
Source: RNAcentral